This 1010-nucleotide long non-coding RNA is filed under the name Phocoena sinus (vaquita). Its description in RNAcentral is "lncRNA (ENSPSNG00000016384.1)". The record is from RNAcentral. Lineage: Eukaryota; Metazoa; Chordata; Mammalia; Artiodactyla; Phocoenidae.
AGAUCGAGAAGGUCCAGGUGGCUGGCACUGCCGCCAGCGCCCAAUGGGAGGAGACCGGCAGCUCCCUGGGUGGCCUGCCCCUUGUCUGCGUGGCCUUUUGCAAAAUAAACGCUCUCUCCUCUGGUGGCUCCAUCUUUUGCUUCUUCCCCUCGGGAGACCCGUCCCCCAGCUGAGGCCUCGGGUGGGCGGUCCUUGGGGGGUCCGGCUACGGCCCAGGUGUGCAGGGGGUCUUCCCCGGAACCCGAGGGGCUGGCACAUCCUGUAUCCUCUCCGUGACGCGUGGAUCUGUGUGUCCAGGAGAGAGAGAGCGCGAGAGGGAAUCGUUUUCAGCUCAGAGGAAGUCUGCCUCGUAAGGGCAAAAACGCGCUUCUUAGCCCCCUGCCUAUCAGCUGCCCCGCUGUCCGCUGUAGGGGGAUUGAGGGCGUCAUUUGUUUGUAUAGAAUUUUUUUUAAUUUAAAAAAAGAGGCUCUAACGGUUGCCAGGCCAGAGAGAACCGUGUAAGGGAAGCGGAGAGCAACUUCCUUGAUGGGGAGGGGGCAGGUGACCUGGAGGGGCGGGCGGGGCGGGAGGUGCCAGGGGAGUCGGCGGAAUGUCUGGGUUUCCUCUGCAUGCAGCAGCCCCUGCCCCAGGGCGCUGUUACUGUGUUCAUAUGUAGUUUGAAAAUGCUAUUUAUAUUGUAAAGAGAAUAAAAAGAAGCGGGCAGACGCCCCUGCGGCCCUGGGUUGGGCGGUGGGCCGGCCCCCGUGGCCGGUCCCUCUGGGUUGCACCCCGUCCGUGGGUCGUGGGUUCCCAGACAACUCGUGCAGACCGGUGGUCUCACAGCAAAGGGGAACGCACACCUCCCCCACGAAGAUACAUCCGUGUCUGUGUGCGAAAGCAAAAAACAAACCGACCCACCCUGUUUUCUUUCCCACCUGAGAUUAGGGAUGCGCGCUGUAUUUUUGCCUAAUUCCCCUGCCUCUAGGUUCAUAAUGAAUUAAAGGCUCGCGAGCACUGCGAAUUACAGCUCC